This 69-nucleotide small nucleolar RNA is filed under the name Pteropus vampyrus (large flying fox). Its description in RNAcentral is "Small nucleolar RNA SNORD112 (ENSPVAG00000030206.1)". The record is from RNAcentral. Lineage: Eukaryota; Metazoa; Chordata; Mammalia; Chiroptera; Pteropodidae.
UAGACCAAUGAUGAGAAUGUCAUGAAUCAAGGAAUAUGACUAAUCUAAAUCUAUGUACUGGAGCCUCAA